RNAcentral lists this long non-coding RNA (5100 nucleotides) under Triticum aestivum (bread wheat). Its description in RNAcentral is "long non-coding RNA (TAES_LNC013217)". Lineage: Eukaryota; Viridiplantae; Streptophyta; Magnoliopsida; Poales; Poaceae. The record is from RNAcentral.
UGUUAUAUAGAUCGACAGGUUUACAAGAUAUGGUAGUUCGGUUGGUGUUGGAUUGAUCCUCAAGAAAGCUAUGCAGAGAUGAGGAUGAAUCCUAACAACAGCAACUACCUUAUUACAAUGACCCACGCAACACAUAAUCCUACCAGACGUAUAUACGGUUUAUAUUCAUACCGUCUAUAUAUGUACAAUACUUUCUAACACGCCCCCUCAAUCACAACUUCACCAAGUUGAGAUUGCUCUUAAAGUCUUCCAAUUUCCGCCAUGAUAAGGCCUUGGUAAAACCAUCAGCAACUUGAUCACCUGUGGGUAUAAAACGAAUAUCUAGUAGCUUGUUAGCUACUCUUUCUCGAACAAAUGAUAGUCAACUUUUAUAUGUUUAGUUCGUGCAUGGAACACUGGAUUUGCUGACAGGUAUGUGGCACCAAUGUUGUCACACCAAAGACGAGCAACUGGUGAAUGAGCAACUCCAAGUUCACGCCGAAGAGUUUGGACCCAAAUAAUCUCAGCAGUUGCAUUAGCUAAGGAUUUAUACUCUGCCUCAGUACUUGAUCUUGAAACAGUAGCCUGCUUACGUGCACUCCAAGAAAUCAAGUUGGGACCAAAAAACACAUAGAAACCUCCUGUUGAUCUUCUGUCAUCAGGACAUCCUGCCCAAUCAGCAUCCGAGAAAGCACUAACAAUAUUGCAAGUUGACUUGGUGAAUUUUAGCCUGUACUCAUAGUACCUUUAAGAUAUCUCAAAAUCCUUUUAACUGAUGUCCUGUGUUGAGAGGUCGGAGAGUGCAAAUACUGACAAACUUUGUUUAUCGGGAAACAAAUAUCAGGUCUUGUCAAUGUCAAAUAUUGCAAAGCACCUACCAUACUUCUAUACCUUGUUGACUCUUCGGCCCCCAAAGGCUCUUGACAGCUUUUCAGAUGUUGAGAGAGGCAUGUUUUAAACCUUGCGACUUAUCAUACCUGCAUGUUUCAAUAUAUCCAUGACAUAUUUUUCUUGGGUCAGUAGAAUGCCAUCUUUCACCUUCUUUACUUCAAUUCCCAAGAAAUAAUGUAGAUCUCCUAAAUCCUUUAAGGCAAAAUCUCUCCUCAAAUCUGCCAACAAUGUUACAGUUGCAUCUUGUGAUGAGCUAGCAACAAUAAUAUCAUCAACAUAGACCAACAUAAAAAUAAUAAUCUUUCCUCUUCUAUAAAAGAACAAGGAAGUAUCCCCCCUUGAUGGUUUAAAACCAAGUGCUUGAAGUUUGUCACAUAACCUGGAGUACCAUGCUCGAGGUGCCUAUUUUAGACCAUACAAAGCUUUGUCAAGUUUGCAGAGAUGAUUUUCCUUGCCUUUUAUCUCAUAGCUAGGUGGUUGUCUCAUAUAGACUUCUUCCUCUAGAACACCAUGAAGGAGCGCAUUCUGAACAUCCAAUUGCCUAAGACUCCAGUUACUGGAUACUGCAACAGAAAGAACAAGUCUGAUAGUAGCUGCUUUAACAAUAGGACUAAAGGUAUCCUCAUAGUCUAUACCAUAUCUCUGUUUAAAACCCUUUGCUACUAGCCUUGCUUGUAUCUAUCAAUUUGACCAUCUGCCUUUCUUUUAAUCCUAUAGACCCACCUACAAUCAAUAAUGUUUUUAUUUUUUGUUGGUGGAACUAAAUGCCAAGUCUUAUUUUUAAUAAGAGCAUCAUACUCAUCAUUCAUAGCCAUUUUCCAUUUUUUUUGUCACUUAGAGCUUCUUGCAAAUUACUUGGCUCACCAGUGGUUGUCAGACCUCCAAAACGAGGUUUUAACUUGUCAUACCUGACCGUACCGUCUGUACGUAUCUGAGGUUUCACAAUACCAUGUUGUGAUCUUGUUACUCGAGUUGGCACACCAGGUGCUACUGCAGGAUGCGGUACAGAAGAUCUCAUAGGGGAGGAGGCAGCCGCACAGGAUCCCGUGUCGGAUCCGUCAGUGGCAGAGGAUCUCGCGUCCUGUCGCUCCAGAACCGCGCCGGACGCGCCACACGCCGCUCCCGUAUGGGAUUCCUCCACGUGGCCGCCGGUGAGAGGGGGUCGCCGCUCGGAUUCAUGCGGCCCAUCCCGAGCCACGUGGUCACCAGAGGUUGGCCCGCCUGGGGAGACAGGAUCUCGCGGGCCAGCCCGCGACGCGCGGCGUUCGCUCGACGGAGUUUGUGAGCCCGAGGAGGAUUCGCCCCCUGAGCCGCCUGCGCCACCUGCGCCUGCUGCUGCCUUGGGAUCAGUUGCCGCAGCACCUGAAUCAACCUCGCGUUCAGCGCCAUGCUUGUCUUGUUAUGGCUGCAUAAAAUCAUGAAUAAUGGCUAGAUUUUCUUCAUGAUUAGCAACAGAAUUAGUAUGAAAAUUAGCCUGCUGAUCAACUACACAUUCGCCCUCGUGAUCAAUAGGCUCAGAGAGAGUUGUGUUAGGAAGCAAUAAGACCUCAGAGCGAAGGGGGGUGCCUGCAUUUGGAUUUAAGGAGGCAAAAGGAAAAACUGUUUCAUCAAAAGUAACAUCACGAGAUAUGUAAACUCGUCCAGCAGCAACAUCUAGGCACUUGAAACCUUUGUGAAGAUUGCUAUAUCCAAGGAACACGCACUGUUUAGAACGGAAUUCUAAUUUUUGGGAAUUGUAUGGACGAAGAUUAGGCCAACAAGCGCACCCAAAAACUCGAAGGGAAUGAUAAUUUGGUUGUUCUUGAAACAGACGAGUUAAUGCGGUUCAAAAUUAAUCACUUUGCUUGGGGUGCGGUUGAUCAAAUAUGUGGCUGAAAGAAAGGCUUCAUCCCAGAAUUUUAAGGGCAUAGAAGCAUGAGCUAAGAGGGAAAGGCCUACAUCAACAAUGUGUCGAUGUUUCCUCUCAGCAGAGCCAUUCUGCUGGUGAGCAUGGGGACAGGAGACAUGAUGGGUGAUUCCUACUUGACGAAAGAAGGAAUUAAGACGCUCAUACUCGCCACCCCAAUCUAUUUGCAUAGUGAUAAUUUUUCUAUUGAACAACCUUUCAACAAGAGUUUGAAACUCAUGAAAAAAUUUGAACACUUCAGAUCAGUGCUUAAGAAGAUAUAUCCAUGUGAAUUUACUGUAGUCAUCAAUGAAUGAAACAUAAUAGUUUUUCGUAUUGAUAGAAUCACGGGCAGGCCCCUAUACAUCAGAAUUUUUUUGCUCUAAAGGAGCUUUGGAUACACUGAUUGAACUAGGGUAAGGAAGUUGGUGAUUUUUGCCCAUUUGGCAUGCAUCACAAACACCUUCUUUAUUCAACUCACUACUUGAAAAGGGAAUAUUAUUUUGGCUAAGGACAUGACGAACUAUGGUGGAUGAAGGGUGUCCUAGCCGGCUAUGCCACCUUUCAGUGGACAUCUUAUUGACGCCAAAAACUUGCUUGCUUGAACUUAACGGACCCGAUGAAAGGGGGUAGAGACCACGUCUACAUCUGCCCCGGAGGAGGGUUUUCUUCGUUCCCUGUUCCUUAACGAAAAAGAAAUUUGGGUGAACUUCAAGAUAAGUAUGAUUGUCAGUGGACAAACGAUGAGCAGAGAUCAGAUUUUUGGUGGCAUCAGGUACAUGCAAGAUGUCUUUUAGAUGAAGAUCACGAGUGAGAGUACGAACAGUAGAUUGACAAAUAUGACUAAUUUCCAUAGCUUCUCCGUUUGCAGUGUGGACUUGUUCGUUGUCGUUGUACUUGUUGCGAACCGUCAGCUUGUCAAGUUCGCUAGUGAUGUGGUCAGUGGCUCCUGGAUCAAGGUACCAGUUUGUGUCCACCCCAUAGGACGAAGUGGUGGCUGACCCUGCGCUCUUGUCGUUCUUGGUGAAGGAGAUGUCGAAGCGACGGUAGCACUCGAGGGCGGAGUGGUUUGGCCUCUUGCAGAUCUGGCAGGCGGCCUCAGGAAGAUCAUCAACUCCUCCAUUGCCAUUGCCGCUGCCUCCAUUGCCACGGCCUCUGUUGCCGCGGCCUCCUCCUCCAUUGCCGUGACCACCAUUGCCGUGGCCACCUCCGCCUCGGCUGAAACCACCACGGCCACGGGAGACAGCAUUGGCCGAGGACUGGGAGGAGUGGUUGCCACCUUCGAACAUAGAAAGGCGUUUUUCAAAACCAAUCAACUGAGAGUAGAGUUCAGCUACCUUGAUUGGUUCGGUCCUCGCAGCACAGAUGGAAGAGACAAACGAGAUGUAGUCUUAGUCUAAUCCAGCAAGGAUGUAGGAGACCAUGUAAUCAUCGUCGAGUGGCUUUCCUGCUGAAGCCAUCUCGUCGCCCAGCGCCUUCAUGCGCCCGAUGUAGUCGGCGAUGGUCGCGGUGCCCUUUUUGGUGUUGGAGAGGGUGAUCCGCGUGUUGACGAUGUUGGCCUGCGUCUGGGAGAGGAACAUCUCCCUGGUGGUGGUCCAUGCCGCCGUGGCCUUGGUGCAGUGAGCGACCUAGAUCAUCACCGGUGCUGAGAUUGAGUUGAAGAUGAAGCUCAGCACCUGUGAGUCUUGCGCCAAGGCGAUGAGAUACGCCAGGUUCGGCACAUCAGUUGGCUUGCCAUCCUUAUCAGCAAGCUUGGGCUCCGGGAACGGGUGAUCGGGAUUGAGGUGAUCGAUCAGUUGCGCUCCGCGGAUGGUGGCUAGGGCUUGUGCGCGCCAUACUAGGUAGUUGCCUCGGUGAAGCUUGUCAGCGAUGGGAAUGAAGGGAAAAGCGGCGGCGGCGGAGCUGGAGCUAGCCAUAACUAGGGUUGGAUGUCAAAGAGGAACUAGGCUCUGAAUACCAUGAAAGAUUGGUUGAAGCGUAUGCCUCUGGCUGGGACGCGUUGCAUGUUAUAUAGAUCGACAGGUUUACAAGAUAUGGUAGUUCGGUUGGUGUUGGAUUGAUCCUGAAGAAAGCUAUACAGAGAUGAGGAUGAAUCCUAACAACCGCAACUACCUGAUUACAAUGACCCACGCAACACACAUAAUCCUACCAGACGUAUAUACGGUUUAUAUUCAUACCGUAUAUACAUGUACAAUACUUCCUAACAAGGAAUGGAGAGAAAACCCUUUUUUAUUUUCAAGAAGGAUGUCCAUAGCACCUCUCGGCCGAGCUCACACAAGUCGUCUGUUCAAACUGCCUGUGGAGAAGGAACAACCAUCUCAAGUUAAUUAGCAAACAAGAAAAAA